GUGUCCUAAGUACAUGUUUGCCCCAUCUGCACAAUAAUUUUCUAUAUUCGGUGGACGGUGAAAAUGGUGUAAAAAAAACUCUUAAUUUUGCAUUAAAAUUAGAAAGAUCAUAUCAUAGGGAACAUUUGUACUAAGUUUCAAGUUGAUUUGACUUCAUCUUCAUUAAAAACUACCUUGACCAAAACCUUCACCUGAAGUGAGACAGACUGACAAACUGACAAACGAAGAAAC
This 231-nucleotide long non-coding RNA is filed under the name Mytilus galloprovincialis (Mediterranean mussel). The record is from RNAcentral. Lineage: Eukaryota; Metazoa; Mollusca; Bivalvia; Mytilida; Mytilidae.